Molecule: ribosomal RNA, 443 nt
Filed under: uncultured bacterium
Lineage: Bacteria
Description: partial 16S ribosomal RNA
Rfam family: Bacterial small subunit ribosomal RNA
Source: RNAcentral
CCUACGGGUGGCAGCAGUGGGGAAUAUUGGGCAAUGGAGGAAACUCUGACCCAGCAACGCCGCGUGAAUGAUGAAGGUCUUCGGAUUGUAAAGUUCUUUUCUAAGGGAAGAAGAAAGUGACGGUACCUUAGGAAUAAGCCUCGGCUAACUACGUGCCAGCAGCCGCGGUAAUACGUAGGAGGCGAGCGUUAUCCGGAAUUACUGGGCGUAAAGGGUGCGUAGGUGGGUUGGCAAGUUAGUAGCGAAACUCCAAGGCUUAACCUUGGAACUACUACUAAAACUGUUGGACUUGAGUGCAGGAGGGGCAACCGGAAUGCCUAGUGUAGCGGUGGAAUGCGUAGAUAUUAGGAGGAACACCAGUGGCGAAGGCGGGUUGCUGGACUGUAACUGACGCUGAGGCACGAAAGCGUGGGGAGCAAACAGGAUUAGAUACUCUUGUAGUC